AGCAGCCGCGGUAAUUCCAGCUCCAAUAGCGUAUAUUAAAGUUGUUGCAGUUAAAAAGCUCGCAGUUGAACUUCGGGGUUUACCCAUUGGUCAGGCUUAAUUGUCUGUACUGGUGAGAUGAAUCUCUACCUUCUGAGGAACUUUCAUGCCAUUUAUUUGGUGUGAUGGGAAAUCAGGACUGUUACUUUGAAAAAUUAGAGUGUUUAAAGCAGGCUAACGUCUGAAUACAUUAGCAUGGAAUAAUGAAAUAGGACGGACUGAUUCUAUUUCGUUGGUUUCUAGGAUCACCGUAAUGAUUAAUAGGGAUAGUUGGGGGCAUUAGUAUUCAAUUGCCAGAGGUGAAAUUCUUGGAUUUAUGAAGACUAACUACUGCGAAAGCAUUUGCCAAGGAUGUUUUCAUUAAUCAAGAACGAAAGUUAGGGGAUCGAAGACGAUCAGAUACC
Molecule: ribosomal RNA, 443 nt
Filed under: uncultured Diversispora
Lineage: Eukaryota; Fungi; Glomeromycota; Glomeromycetes; Diversisporales; Diversisporaceae
Description: SSU rRNA
Rfam family: Eukaryotic small subunit ribosomal RNA
Source: RNAcentral